AUCAAGGAGGAAGAGUGGCUUCUUUCCAUCACCACCAGGCUGUCAUCAUGUUAUAAACUAAGUGGUGGAAGGAGGUCAACAGCUAAUAAAUCUUAUGAGCAGACUCACUACUUUCAGACAGCAGUCCCUUUAGAGAUUGCUGCUGUCAUUUUCCUUUUUCUUCUCCCCUAUCCUCCCCUACCCCAGUGAACCUUUACAUCCUCAGAAGUGUUUGGCUUUUGCUGGCCUCUGGCAAAAGGAAGAUGCUAGGUUUUGAGUAGGGAGCUUCUGCAGUUGCCAGUUAGUCUUUGAGAGACUAAAAGAUAUCAGAGAAAAUUCAUUGCCAGAUUUUCUUAAGGGCUCUGAGAUAAAGCUUCAGAUUAAAGACAGGACUGUGCAAUUAUAUGAUCUUUUUGAAGAGAAUUUUUCUCUUUGAUUAAAUUACUGAAAGGUUAUUACAUUAAGAAAAUGGUGCCAUUUAGCUGUCCUCUCUAAAGGUGCUUUAGAUCUAGUUGUGAAAGAGCUGUAUUACAGAGUCUAUUACUGUAUUGAUGGAUGUGUUCGCAGUGUCAAGUUCACUAGUAACUCUGCUGAGACUCAGCUGAGAAGCAGCCUAGAGACCAUCACUUUAUGUAUUUUAUUGAUUCCCCUCUUGUGCAAAAAUGAUCAGGAAAGUGCUAGUAAGAGAUUGUACAGAGGACAAUUAGCACAAAGAGGAAGUGUUAGGCUGCUUCUUGUUCCAGAACAAAGAGCCCCUAAGACAGCUGGUUUGAGUGGUGACAGCCAAAGAACCACUGUUUUCCACAGAAACAUAUGUAGCUAAGUGACAUCUAUCUACUAUAGAAACUGUACUGCUGCCUUCCAGAGACUCGUGAUGACAGAACAUGACAAGAUUUCUACACUUCAGACAGUGUCCCAGAAGAAACAGGACUUUGGAAGGUGGAAGAAGUAAGAAUGAAGAAGGUGAACCAGAAAGACCUUCAGCAUCUGCAGGUCAAGGCAAGAUGCCAAAUGGCUCAGCUGGGGACAUAUCCAGGCACUCGUACACUUCUAGUACAGCUCAAACAAAGCCUGAGGAUCUGGAAUUUUGUGCAAACAUGCAAGGGAUGUAUGGGCAAGGGUCUCAGAUGAGGGACAAUCAGGUCCCUCAUCUGAGGGCUGUUGCCUUCUGGGUGUCUAAUGUACAGUAUGCUUUGCCACCUCAGCUUUCAGAACUGUCAGUGACUCAUUCAGUGAGUGAUGGAUUAGAGCCAAUAUUACCAAUUCCUUUGCGUAACAAAACAGAAGUAACAUUUUUGUUUUCUAGGAAUACUUUCUGUGUCUUAUGUCAUUCUCUAAUGAAACUUCAAGAACCUAAAUUUAAAUAUUAAGAAAUGUUAUGUUAACUGUCCAUAUACCCUGUACAGUCUGGAUUAUGUAUAAUUCCUUGUUUAAGAUUUUGGCAAUUUUUCCACUAAAUACCUGGCUCCUAGCUGAAAUCUGCUAUAGCUUUGAAAAGACAAUGAAGCUAACUGAAACUGUAACUUCAGAGGCUCUAAGCAGAACCCGGUGCAGUGACUACUGCAGAGGAAAAGCAAGCAAUGACAACAGCAACUAUCAAUAAUGACCAUCUCAGGGACUCCAAAAUGAGUGCCCGCUGCUUAAAUAGGGCAGUCACUGGCCUGAGACAAGGAUUAGUUAAGCUUUAUAGAGAAGGUAAGAUUGACUGCAGGUGUUUGCAGCCACCUUGACUGUUUCAGUCCUUGUGCUCAUUACAACCCCAUUGCUCUCAGCAUCUCCAGGCUGCAACAAUAACAGACUUUCUCUGACUCUGCAAGUCUGUGUCUGUGUUGCUUGCACAAACCCCUGCUUUGGUGUGAAGUCAGACCUGUGAGAAUAUAUCUGGUAUAUUUCUGAAUUCAUGAACAUAACCGCACUUACUGUUGAGUUGAAUGUACAAGUG
Molecule: long non-coding RNA, 1921 nt
Organism: Anas platyrhynchos (mallard)
Lineage: Eukaryota; Metazoa; Chordata; Aves; Anseriformes; Anatidae
Source: RefSeq, a predicted model, not a curated record